AUUGAACGCUGGCGGCAGGCCUAACACAUGCAAGUCGAGCGGAUGAAGGGUGCUUGCUCCUGGAUUCAGCGGCGGACGGGUGAGUAAUGCCUAGGAAUCUGCCUGGUAGUGGGUGAUAACGUCCGGAAACGGGCGCUAAUACCGCAUACGUCCUGAGGGAGAAAGUGGGGGAUCUUCGGACCUCACGCUAUCAGAUGAGCCUAGGUCGGAUUAGCUAGUUGGUGGGGUAAAGGCCUACCACGGCGACGAUCCGUAACUGGUCUGAGAGGAUGAUCAGUCACACUGGAACUGAGACACGGUCAAGACUCCUACGGGACGCAGCAGUGGGGAAUAUUGGACAAUGGGCGAAAGUCUGAUCCAGCCAUGCCGCGUGUGUGAAGAAGGUCUUCGGAGUGUAAAGCACUUUAAGUUGGGAGGAAGGGCAGUAAGUUAAUACCUUGCUGUUUUGACGUUACCAACAGAAUAAGCACCGGCUAACUUCGUG
RNAcentral lists this ribosomal RNA (484 nucleotides) under uncultured bacterium. Its description in RNAcentral is "partial 16S ribosomal RNA". It matches the Rfam family "Bacterial small subunit ribosomal RNA", at positions 30 to 507 of the family's 1533-position model. The record is from RNAcentral.